GCGAGAGUGGCGGAAUUGGUAGACGCACUGGACUUAGGAUCCAGCGGCCGCGUCCGUGAGAGUUCGAGUCUCUCCUCUCGCACCA
Molecule: transfer RNA, 85 nt
Filed under: Humidesulfovibrio mexicanus
Lineage: Bacteria; Pseudomonadati; Thermodesulfobacteriota; Desulfovibrionia; Desulfovibrionales; Desulfovibrionaceae
Description: Desulfovibrio mexicanus tRNA_Leu_TAG
Rfam family: tRNA
About the family: Transfer RNA (tRNA) molecules are approximately 80 nucleotides in length. Their secondary structure includes four short double-helical elements and three loops (D, anti-codon, and T loops).
Source: RNAcentral